Molecule: ribosomal RNA, 253 nt
Filed under: uncultured bacterium
Lineage: Bacteria
Description: partial 16S ribosomal RNA
Rfam family: Bacterial small subunit ribosomal RNA
Source: RNAcentral
UACGUAGGGUGCAAGCGUUGUCCGGAAUUAUUGGGCGUAAAGAGCUCGUAGGCGGUUUGUCGCGUCUGGUGUGAAAACUCAGGGCUUAACUCUGAGCUUGCAUCGGGUACGGGCAGACUAGAGUGUGCUAGGGGAGACUGGAAUUCCUGGUGUAGCGGUGAAAUGCGCAGAUAUCAGGAGGAACACCGGUGGCGAAGGCGGGUCUCUGGGGCAUAACUGACGCUGAGGAGCGAAAGCAUGGGGAGCGAACAGG